RNAcentral lists this ribosomal RNA (497 nucleotides) under uncultured bacterium. RNAcentral's name for it is "partial 16S ribosomal RNA". It matches the Rfam family "Bacterial small subunit ribosomal RNA", at positions 28 to 507 of the family's 1533-position model. The record is from RNAcentral.
GAUGAACGCUGGCGGCGUGCCUAAUACAUGCAAGUCGAGCGAACGGACGAGAAGCUUGCUUCUCUGAUGUUAGCGGCGGACGGGUGAGCAACACGUGGAUAACCUACCUAUAAGACUGGGAUAACUUCGGGAAACCGGAGCUAAUACCGGAUAAUAUUUUGAACCGCAUGGUUCAAAAGUGAAAGACGGUCUUGCUGUCACUUAUAGAUGGAUCCGCGCUGCAUUAGCUAGUUGGUAAGGUAACGGCUUACCAAGGCAACGAUGCAUAGCCGACCUGAGAGGGUGAUCGGCCGCACUGGAAGUGGGACGCGGUCCAGACUCCUACGGGAGGCAGCAGUAGGGAAUCUUCCGCAGUGGGCGGAAGCCUGGCGGAGCAACGCCGCGUGAGUGAUGAAGGUCUUCGGAUCGUAAAACUCUGUUAUUAGGGAAGAACAUAUGUGUAAGUAACUGUGCACAUCUUGACGGUACCUAAUCAGAAAGCCACGGCUAACUACGUG